GCACAAUUUUAUUUAUGCACAAGGAAUCUGAGAGCCAGGUGGAUGAAGGCCACUCGGAGAGGAGAUGGCCAAGCUGGAAGUGCAUUCUGGGUACCACAAUGCUCUGGAUACUGCUCUUCAUCCACCAAGUCAUUCCUCAGGGUUUACCAGCAUUUCAAGGCUUCCUUAAGUCCCAGCAAAAUGAGCAACUGCAGUCCCAUAAAGGGCCAGAACCUAACACAGGAACAACAAGAAUCACCUUUCCUAACCCAGUCACAAAAAGACAAACAUGAGCCCUCAUCCAGUGGCUGAUGGAAGCAGAGACAGACAUUCACAGAUAUACACUGAGCUGAAAUCGGGAAUUCAGUUGAAAAGAGGGAGGAAUGAAGAGUGAAGGAGUCCGUACCAGGUUGGAGAAACCCACAGGAACAGUUGACCUGAACAAAGGAGAGCACAUCGCCCCCAGAUGCUGUCUGGAAGGCCUGUACAAGACUGAUCCAGACCCCUGAACAUAGAUGUCAAUAAGGAGGCCUCUGCACUCCAGGGAGCCUCUGGUGGUGGAUUAGUAUUUUUCCCUGGUACAAGAAGGGACUUUGAGCGCCCAUCCCACAAGAAGGGUUACACUCUGGCCCUGGACACAUGGGGAAGGGCCCAGGACCAGCACAGGAAGAUUUGGUGGACUUUGCAGAGCCCCCGUUGAGGGCCCUACCCUGC
RNAcentral lists this long non-coding RNA (693 nucleotides) under Cricetulus griseus (Chinese hamster). Its description in RNAcentral is "lncRNA (ENSCGRG00015039245.1)". The record is from RNAcentral. Lineage: Eukaryota; Metazoa; Chordata; Mammalia; Rodentia; Cricetidae.